AGAGUCUCCAAUAAGAGUCUGUACUCCAGGUGUGUGUGUAUACAGAGUCUCCAAUAAGAGUCUGUACUCCAGGUGUGUGUGUGUAUAUAUAUACAGAGUCUCCAAUAAGAGUCUGUACUCCAGGUGUGUGUGUAUAUAUAUAUACAGAGUCUCCAAUAAGAGUCUGUACUCCAAGUGUGUGUGUGUGUAUAUAUAUACAGGGUCUCCAAUAAGAGUCUGUACUCCAGGUGUGUGUGUAUAUACAGAGUCUCCAAUAAGAGUCUGUACUCCAGGUGUGUGUAUAUAUAUAUACAGAGUCUCCAAUAAGAGUCUGUACUCCAGGUGUGUGUGUGUAUAUAUACAGAGUCUCCAGUAAGAGUCUGCACUGCAGGUGUGUGUGUGUGUAUACAGAGUCUCCAAUGAGUCUGUACUCCAGGUGUGUUUAUAUAGAGAGAGUCUCAUAAGUAUGUAGUCUAGAGUUUACACAUA
This 468-nucleotide long non-coding RNA is filed under the name Lepisosteus oculatus (spotted gar). RNAcentral describes it as "lncRNA (ENSLOCG00000021259.1)". Lineage: Eukaryota; Metazoa; Chordata; Actinopteri; Semionotiformes; Lepisosteidae. The record is from RNAcentral.